This 389-nucleotide ribosomal RNA is filed under the name uncultured bacterium. RNAcentral describes it as "bacterial SSU rRNA". It matches the Rfam family "Bacterial small subunit ribosomal RNA", at positions 1014 to 1396 of the family's 1533-position model. The record is from RNAcentral.
ACAGAGUUGGUUGUUGCAUCGGCUNCAUCGGCGUCAGCUCGUCGUCCGUCGAGAUGUUGGGUUAAGUCCCGCUAACGAGCGCAACCCCUUAUGGAUAGUUACUACGCAAGAGAGACUCUAUUCAUCAUCUGCCGUUGUAGCACAAACGUGAGGAAGGUGGGGAUGAGCGUCAAAUCAUCAUGUCCCUUUAUGACCUUGGGCUACACACGUACUACAAUUGGCGUUCAAGCAAAGUAGAAGCGAAGCCGCGAGGCAGAGCAAAACUCAAAAACAACAGUCCCAGUCUCAGAUUGCAGUGCUGCAACUCGCCUGCAUGAAGUCGGAAUUGCUAGUAAUCGCAAUCAGCAUGCUGCGGUGAAUACGUACCCGGGUCUUGUACACACCUGACG